Molecule: non-coding RNA, 85 nt
Organism: Papilio xuthus (Asian swallowtail)
Lineage: Eukaryota; Metazoa; Arthropoda; Insecta; Lepidoptera; Papilionidae
Source: Rfam
GACGUAACUGGGCCUGGUAACUCCACCACCGUUGGCGUGAUGUCACACCGCCAACGGGGGCAGAGUUCCUUCUCCUAGUUGCGAG